AACGAACGCUGGCGGCGUGGAUAAGACAUGCAAGUCGAACGCUUGUCGCAGGGUAGCAAUAUUCUGCGGCAGGAGUGGCGCAAGGGUGCGUAACACGUGGGUAAUUUGCCGUGAAGCUGGGAACAACUCGUUGAAAGACGAGCUAAUACCCAAUGUGCUCCGCAAGGAGUAAAGCCGGGGACCGCAAGGCCUGGCACUUCACGAUAAGCCCGCGGCCUAUCAGCUAGUUGGCGGGUAACGGCCCACCAAGGCUAAGACGGGCAGCUGGUCUGAGAGGACGACCAGCCACACUGGAACUGAGACACGGUCCAGACACCUACGGGUGGUAGCAGUCGAGAAUUUUUCACAAUGGGCGCAAGCCUGAUGGAGCGACGCCGCGUGGGGGAUGAAGGGCUUCGGGCUCGUAAACCCCUGUCAUUCGCGAACAAUGGUGCCGGCCUAACACGUCGUCGCCUGAUAGUAGCGGAAGAGGAAGGGACGGCUAACUCUGUGCCAGCAGCCG
RNAcentral lists this ribosomal RNA (502 nucleotides) under uncultured bacterium. RNAcentral describes it as "bacterial SSU rRNA". It matches the Rfam family "Bacterial small subunit ribosomal RNA", at positions 29 to 517 of the family's 1533-position model. The record is from RNAcentral.